AUACGUAGGUGGCAAGCGUUGUCCGGAAUUAUUGGGCGUAAAGCGCGCGCAGGUGGUUCCUUAAGUCUGAUGUGAAAGCCCCCGGCUCAACCGGGGAGGGUCAUUGGAAACUGGGGAACUUGAGUGCAGAAGAGGAUAGUGGAAUUCCAAGUGUAGCGGUGAAAUGCGUAGAGAUUUGGAGGAACACCAGUGGCGAAGGCGACUGUCUGGUCUGUAACGGACACUGAGGCGCAAAAGCGUGGGGAGCAAACAGGAUUAGAUACCCUGGUAGUCCACGCUGUAAACGAUGAGUGCUAAGUGUUGGGGGGUUUCCGCCCCUCAGUGCUGCAGCUAACGCAUUAAGCACUCCGCCUGGGGAGUACGGUCGCAAGACUGAAACUCAAAUGAAUUGACGGGG
This 397-nucleotide ribosomal RNA is filed under the name uncultured bacterium. RNAcentral describes it as "partial 16S ribosomal RNA". It matches the Rfam family "Bacterial small subunit ribosomal RNA", at positions 523 to 918 of the family's 1533-position model. The record is from RNAcentral.